Molecule: ribosomal RNA, 1729 nt
Filed under: Cladonia foliacea
Lineage: Eukaryota; Fungi; Ascomycota; Lecanoromycetes; Lecanorales; Cladoniaceae
Description: partial 18S ribosomal RNA
Rfam family: Eukaryotic small subunit ribosomal RNA
Source: RNAcentral
CUGCCAGUUUUUUCCGUUUAGGUCGGGCUUUGGGGGGAGGGAUCGCUUAAUGGGCCAUUCGACACUCAAAUAUAACACGCUGCUUGCAGCUCUGUGACAUUAUCAAAGUGUGAGGACCGGCCUUCCGGAACCCGCAGCCAGCGUAGUCUGGUCCAACGACUACAAGAUAUAUGGCCAUGGAUAAGCUUCCUGGUUAAGAUAUAGUCUCCUCCGGCAGAGCAAUCUGCGGGGCUUAGUGCAUUAAAUCAGUUAUCGUUUAUUUGAUAGUACCUUACUACUUGGAUACCUGUGGUAAUUCUAGAGCUAAUACAUGCUAAAAACCUCGACUUCGGAAGGGGUGUAUUUAUUAGAUAAAAAACCAAUGCCCUUCGGGGCUCCUUGGUGAUUCAUAAUAACUUAACGAAUCGCAUGGCCUUGAGCCGGCGAUGGUUCAUUCAAAUUUCUGCCCUAUCAACUUUCGAUGGUAGUAUAGUGGACUACCAUGGUUUCUACGGGUAACGGGGAAUUAGGGUUCUAUUCCGGAGAGGGAGCCUGAGAAACGGCUACCACAUCCAAGGAAGGCAGCAGGCGCGCAAAUUACCCAAUCCCGACACGGGGAGGUAGUGACAAUAAAUACUGAUCCAGGGCUCUUUUGGGUCUUGGAAUUGGAAUGAGUACAAUUUAAAUCCCUUAACGAGGAACAAUUGGAGGGCAAGUCUGGUGGACACUUGAGUGUUCCAGUAGGUCAAGAUAUUUACUAUCCCCCUGCUGACGCCAGUUAUAGAUUGAUCUCUGGGCCGUUCAAGGCCUUCGAGAUUGGUUUAGUAGGGGUCUAUCCUCUGCGAGGUACUUGGUACGGGGAAGGGUCUCCUAGAGGCUUCAUCCCGUGGCUCAAGGCUUUCGAGCCUUGGGCCUUAACGCGCGCCAAGGUACCGGUCGACCUCCUUGGAGGUUGAUUUGAGGUACGUGCUAAUCCCGCCUGUUAUGGGUGUGAUGUGCUUUAUCAGAAGGCAUCUUAGGGACAAUUAAUGGCCAGCAGCCGCGGUAAUUCCAGCUCCAAUAGCGUAUAUUAAAGUUGUUGCAGUUAAAAAGCUCGUAGUUGAAACUUGGGCCUGGCUGACCGGUCCGCCUCACCGCGUGCACUGGCUCGGCCGGGCCUUUCCUUCUGGGGAACCGCAUGGCCUUCAUUGGUCGUGUUGGGGAUCCAGGACUUUUACUUUGAAAAAAUUAGAGUGUUCAAAGCAGGCCUAUGCUCGAAUACAUUAGCAUGGAAUAAUAGAAUAGGACGUGUGGUUCUAUUUUGUUGGUUUCUAGGACCGCCGUAAUGAUUAAUAGGGAUAGUCGGGGGCAUCAGUAUUCAAUUGUCAGAGGUGAAAUUCUUGGAUUUAUUGAAGACUAACUACUGCGAAAGCAUUUGCCAAGGAUGUUUUCAUUAAUCAGUGAACGAAAGUUAGGGGAUCGAAGACGAUUGUAUUUGGUCGUCCAUAGUGAGUAGCAUCAUCUAGUUGGGGGUCACUUUCCCUGCGGGGGAAUGCCCCUGGCCACAUCACCAAACUGAUGGGGCUCCCUCGCCAUUUCCGGCGGGGUGAAACCCACAGCCAAGCUCUUCGGAGUGCAGUCUACAGACUGAAUGUUGAUGGGCAGGUCUCAAGGGACCCGUUUCUAAUAUAGCCGAGUCCCCCAGGAGUUUCCUUCUGGAGGUGUUUUACGCAGAUACCGUCGUAGUCUUAACCAUAAACUAUGCCGACUG